RNAcentral lists this ribosomal RNA (257 nucleotides) under uncultured Fastidiosipila sp. RNAcentral describes it as "partial 16S ribosomal RNA". It matches the Rfam family "Bacterial small subunit ribosomal RNA", at positions 1108 to 1382 of the family's 1533-position model. Lineage: Bacteria; Bacillati; Bacillota; Clostridia; Eubacteriales; Oscillospiraceae. The record is from RNAcentral.
CUGUGUGUUACAAGUGUCACACAGGACCGCGGUCUUAAGCCGAGGAAGUGGGGAUGACGUCAAGUCAGCAUGGCCUUUAUGUCCAGGGCUACACACACGCUACAAUGGUCAGCACAAUAGGUAGCCAAGCCGCGAGGUGGAGCCAAUCCUCAAAGCUGGCCUCAGUUCAGAUCGCAGGCUGCAACCCGCCUGCGUGAAGCCGGAGUUGCUAGUAACCGCAGGUCAGCUAUACUGCGGUGAAUACGUUCCCGGGGCUU